UGUUUUUACAAAAACAUCGCUCCUUGUUUGACAAAAAAUGGGGAGUCGGACCUGCCCAGUGAGAUUUUUAACGGCCGCGGUACUCUGACCGUGCAAAGGUAGCAUAAUAAUUUGCCUUAUAAUUGAAGGCUAGUAUGAAUGGUUUGACGAGAAUAAAGCUGUCUCUUUGCAACUUGGUAGAAAUUUAUUUACGGAUGAAAAAGUCCGUAUGGUAUUGAUAGACAAGAAGACCCUAUCGAGCUUAAAAAAAGUUAGUAGAACAAAAUUAAAUUAGAUUAAAAAAUUAUCUACUAAAGAUUUUGGUUGGGGCGACUGAGGAACAAAUAAAGCUUCCUUAAACUGUGUUUUGUUCAUCAGCUUUGAUCCGGAAAUUUCCGAUUAAUAAAAUUAGUUACCGUAGGGAUAACAGCAUUAUCUUUUUUGAGAGCUCUUAUCGAAAAAAAGGUUUGUGACCUCGAUGUUGGACCAGAAUGUCCUAAAGAUGCAGCAGUCUUUAAGGGUUGGUCUGUUCGACCAUUAAUAUUCUACGUGAUCUGAUUUCA
Molecule: ribosomal RNA, 542 nt
Filed under: Imbricaria hrdlickai
Lineage: Eukaryota; Metazoa; Mollusca; Gastropoda; Neogastropoda; Mitridae
Description: partial 16S ribosomal RNA
Rfam family: Bacterial large subunit ribosomal RNA
Source: RNAcentral